ACAUACUGUUAACAUCGAUGGUUCAUUCAAAGAACAGAAAUAAAAAAUUAAACACACCAAAAUCCCUUCUUGUUUUUAUGAUUUUUAAAAUUCUGUGGUUUUCCUAAAGAAUGAAAAUACGACAGAGAAAGUCACCUGUUAUUUUAAAAUAAAGAUAUCCUUUAAUUAAAAUAUUUAACCACAUGAGCUAUUACUUCACACCCAUUAGGAUGGCUAUUAUAAAAAAAAAAACACCAGAAAAUAACAAAUGUUGGCAAAAAUGUGGAGAAAUUGAGCUCUUGUGCAUUGCUGGUGAAAAUAUAAAAUGGUGAAGCCACUGUGGAAAACACCAUGCUGAUUCUUCAAUCCAGCAAUUCCACUCAAAUAAGUGAAAAUGGGGACUUGCACAGAUAUUUGUACACCCAUGUUCAUAGCAGCGUUGUUCACAGAAGUCAAAAGGGGGAAGCCAUCCAAGUGUCAGCGGUGGAGGAAUGGAUGAAGAAAGAGUGUUAUAUGCACACAAUGGAAUGUUAUUCAGUCUGAAAAAGGAAGAAACUCUUUAGUGCUACAACAUGGAUGAGCCUUGAGGACGUUACGUUAAGUGAAAUAAGCUAAUCAUAAAAAGAAAAAUAUUGUAUGAUUCCACUUAUCUGAGUUUUAGUAAUUGGAAGAGGAAAAUGAACGUGACUCGAAAUGGAGGAGAAAAUGAUCUUUCAACAAGAUCAAGCUUUUUGAAGACAUUCUACUGUCCGGAUGAAAUUUUGUUUGAUUGAGAAUAUUUUUUCAAAACUUUUAAGACGUUUUAAAUGACUUACAUAUAAAUGUGGCAAAAAUGUCACAAAGGACCAAUGUCAGAUCUCUAAUAUAAAUAAAAACAAUAAAAAAUUACUUGAGUGGUAUAAGCACA
This is a long non-coding RNA of Felis catus (domestic cat), 886 nucleotides long. RefSeq lists it as uncharacterized. The transcript is spliced from 2 exons. Lineage: Eukaryota; Metazoa; Chordata; Mammalia; Carnivora; Felidae. The record is from RefSeq and is a predicted model, not a curated record.